UACGUAGGUGGCAAGCGUUGUCCGGACUUAUUGGGCGUAAAGCGCGCGCAGGCGCCCUCUUAAGGUUGAGGUGAAAGCCCCCGGCUCAACCGGGGAGGGCCAUUCGAAACUGGGAGGCUUGAGUAUAGGAGAGAAGAGUGGAAUUCCACGUGUAGCGGUGAAAUGCGUAGAGAUGCGGAGGAACACCAGUGGCGAAGGCGACUCUUUGGCCUAUAACAGACGCUGAGGCGCGAAAGCGUGGGGAGCAAACAGG
Molecule: unclassified non-coding RNA, 253 nt
Filed under: uncultured Caryophanales bacterium
Lineage: Bacteria; Bacillati; Bacillota; Bacilli; Caryophanales
Description: uncultured Bacillales bacterium contains 16S-23S intergenic spacer region
Rfam family: Bacterial small subunit ribosomal RNA
Source: RNAcentral